This is a long non-coding RNA of Pan troglodytes (chimpanzee), 244 nucleotides long. RefSeq lists it as uncharacterized. The record is from RefSeq and is a predicted model, not a curated record. The transcript is spliced from 3 exons. NCBI's taxonomy places the organism in Eukaryota, Metazoa, Chordata, Mammalia, Primates, Hominidae.
GCAGCCUGCGCAGGAAGGACGACGCUCCCGUCAGGCUGUGCGGCGCAGACGGGUCGCCCAAUGGAGUUGUCUUCCAGGAGGUUUUAACUUGAUGGUGUGUCCGGAAUUGGUGGGUUCUUGGUCUCACUGACUUCAAGAAUGAAGCCGCAGACCCUCGCGAGAGUUAAGAGAGCAAAUCAAGACAUGAAAAUGAUCCCCCCGUGGAAUAUGCCCCUGCUAUUGAGAGAAUAAACUACUGAUCUAC